UAGACAGUUGGGAUAGCCAAUCAGAUCCCAAGUUGUUGACAGCAGCCUGUCUAAGUAGCCUGAUGUUAACGAGACUGAUUGGAUACUCCCUUGUCAUUCCAAAGUGUGUAUCCAAUCACACAAGUUGCAACUUAGCAGGAAACGGGAAGUGUUGACCCACAAAGAAGGAGAACAAAACGUGGAUUAGGUGGCAGAUAUAUAUUUGCAAGGCCAUUUUCAGGAAUGAUGUUUAAAGGGAAACUACAUCUUGUGAGACGAUGUCGGCGAUGAAAUGGGGAAAUGCCCGCCAUUUCCACUCGAAUCAGCCAACUACGAGGGGUCGAAUGGGUGCUACGAAUUUUGUAGGAGGUGAUGUAGUCUUCCGGUAGAAGAAUACGCUUCGGUCGCUCCACUUUUAUGUCGUCUUCAGAGCAGCCAGACUACAACUUCUAACGACGGUGUGCUGCCGAUGCUGGAGCUUGGACGGUUGGUGGAAGAUGUGACAAGAGCUCGAUUUUCAUCCGGCUCGUCCAUAAAACGAUGGGGGAACUCAUGUCAUAUAUAUUUCCAUGAAACAUCGCUUUUUGCAAGAAUUUGGACUUUUAUGGCAUUUCAAGUAGUAUUACGGCACAGAAAGAGAUUUUUUGAAUGCUAAAAUUGUUUAAUUUUGAGGGUUAUGCCCGUUCGUGCGUGUGUCGUGUGUCCACGCACCCCCGGCCUGAACAACAAUGGUUCAUUCCACCCUCACCGAGUUGCUUCCAUCGGAGAAAAAGUCUCAGCGUCCUGUGGAAAAUUAUCUCUCAGGACUAUUCUUAGCUCUCUAUCUGAAAUACACGUCUGAGAAAAAAAAACAUCUGAAUGCAAAAAAAAAAAAAAAAAAAAAAAAUACAGAUUUGUAUGGUUAAGAAUGUUAUUGAGGAAGUUCCAUUUCAAAAGUGUACAGUUAGCCUAUUUGCAUUGGGAAACAACAACCCAUUAAUAGCCAUCAAGAAUCAUUUUAAAGGGUCUGUAUUUUUACACAUUAAGAAAUAAAAUUCUUAAUUAUGCAGGCGUUUUAUGCAAGAAACACACGUAAUAGUCAGUUACAGCGACACUACAGGAAGUGUGGUGUGUACAGUAUGUCAGCAUGUCUACUCAGUGGAUCAAUUAUUAACACUGUGUGUGUGUGUGUGUGUUUCUGAAGCCUGACACCUGUUCCUAUAAGCACAUGGUGUGUUCAUCGCUCCCUAGAGAAGGGAUGCAUGCA
Molecule: long non-coding RNA, 1225 nt
Organism: Nerophis lumbriciformis (worm pipefish)
Lineage: Eukaryota; Metazoa; Chordata; Actinopteri; Syngnathiformes; Syngnathidae
Source: RefSeq, a predicted model, not a curated record